UUGGUGGAAGCCAAACUAGAGGCUAGUCACUGUUAAUGAUUGAACUGAAACUAAUUUCCCACCAAG
RNAcentral lists this transfer RNA (66 nucleotides) under Thenus orientalis. RNAcentral describes it as "tRNA-Asn". Lineage: Eukaryota; Metazoa; Arthropoda; Malacostraca; Decapoda; Scyllaridae. The record is from RNAcentral.